GAGGCAGAGCAGGGGAGACAGGCCCGCGUGGGUGGUGGGGCAGCCCCCAGCCCUCUCUUGCCGGAUGGAAGCGAAAGUGACCCGGGGUCAGCAGUGCGCGGGAGCAGGGAGCCCCGGCAAGCCUUGAACGGAAGACGAUCCUGGAUGGGGCGCAGGGAGUAUUCAGGACAGGCUUCCUGGAGGAGGUGACAUCUGAACCCUGAGAGGUGAAUGGAUGGUGGCCUUAAGUGGAGUUAGAGUCCAGAGGGCAGACCCAGGUGGAGGAUGCUGUACUAUCUGAAGAUGAAGAAAGGGGCCAUGAGCCAAGGAACGCAGAUACUUCUAGAAGCCGGAAACACCUUCUCCCCAGGAGCUUCCAGGAGGAAAAUGUGACCCUGUGGACACCUGGAUUUCAGCCCAGUGAGACCCGUUUUGGACUUCUGACCUCCAGAACUGUCAGAUAACUGUGUGUUCUUUUAAGCCACCAAGUGAGUGCUGACUUGUUACGGCAGCGAUAGGAGACUCAGACCCCCAACCUCCCGCCCAGAGUCCUGCUUGUGCUCUCAGAACCACCCCCCCCCACACACACACAUCUGGACUCAGUUUCCAGAUCAGCAGUCUGGGGCCCCAUCCAGGUCAGACCCACAACCCCUGCAGCACGCACCCAUCACCCACCCCUCCAGACCUCUGGGCGGGGCUGCUACUCCCUUGUUCCAGCAGGGUGGGGACUGAAAUCCCACAAGUCUGUCUGUCACUGCCUCUCUGUGCCCUGCAGUGCCCAACUCACGCCAGGCCUGCUGUCCCAGGCCUCUCUGUGUCUGGCUGUCCUCCCUGGCCUAGCCUUUGCCAAACAAGACCUCUGUCCUCAGUGGGGGGCUCCUCUCCCCAAAGGCAGGAGCCCCCAGUUCAGACAGUCCUGGGCUCACGUUUGUGCUGUGUGAACUCGGGUGUGUGACACGGCCUCUCUGAGCCCCAAGGUGUCCUCAUCUGUAGAAUGGAAGAGAACCAGGCCAUCUGGGGGACAGAUAGGUGGAGGGACCCCUGCCUCCAUGCUGUUUCAUCCAAGUGGCCUGAGUCAGGGCUGGGGAGGGCUGGGAUGGGUCGGAUGGGGUGGGUGGAGAAGCCUUUAUGCUGUCUGUUCCUCCUGCCUGGAACGCUUUUCCUUCUUCUUGCCAGUCCGCGUGGCCCCCUCCCGCCAUCCCUUGGGCCUUUAGUCAGGGGUUCACGCUGUCCACCCAUCCUGCCCCCCCCCCCGCCUGCCACCACCCCCCCCACCAGCUGUAUCUCCCCAGCCCUCCUCCCUCUCGGUUCCUUUUUUAUCCUGUGCCUGACAGCCUCCUCCUGGAAAAUGUCCACCCCUCAAGGCUGGGGGGCAGGGGGGGUGUCCCAUCUUGAUCCCCCAGUGACCCUAACGCUGAAACAGGGCCCGGUACCCAGUGGGUGUUUCACAGAUGUUCCUUAAGGGCAGAGAGGAUGGGGCGAGGCAAGGUGGGAAAUGAAGUUUUCCAAGAAGGGCUCUGAAGAGGGCCUACUGGGUACGUCUGUGAGUUGGCCUGCCUUCUUGUCCGUGUGUCUCCAGGUCCCUCUGGGUCUCUGUGUUUCUGUGUGUGUGUGUGUGUGUGUGUGUGUGUCUGCAGGGGUGUCUCUGUGUUUCUGGGGUGUCUGUACGUGAGCGUCUGACUGGACGCACACAGCUUCAACUUCUCCGGCCACGGUGGGGGGUGGGGGGUGGGAGGGGGGAUACUGAGCUGUUCUCCCUGGAGCGACUCUGCCUCCUUCCAUCCUGCUGCUGCCUCCCCAAGGGCCCCGCCAGCUUCCCAGUGUCGGCGGGAUAACCCACUUGAGUUGGUGACGCCUGCCUGCCAGCCUGAGGUUCCCAGCAGCCGGGCAGGGAACAGCAUGACGAGGCUCCCGUGCUGGGAGCUUUAUAGAGACGAACAUACCCACCCCUGUCUGUGGAGCAAGUGCAUUAAAAAUUCCCAUUUCAGGGGCGCCUGGGUGGCUCAGUCGGUUAAACGUUCGACUUCUG
This is a long non-coding RNA of Lynx canadensis (Canada lynx), 2008 nucleotides long. RefSeq lists it as uncharacterized. The transcript is spliced from 3 exons. The record is from RefSeq and is a predicted model, not a curated record. Lineage: Eukaryota; Metazoa; Chordata; Mammalia; Carnivora; Felidae.